Molecule: long non-coding RNA, 1326 nt
Filed under: Mytilus galloprovincialis (Mediterranean mussel)
Lineage: Eukaryota; Metazoa; Mollusca; Bivalvia; Mytilida; Mytilidae
Source: RNAcentral
UAAAAUUUUUUUUUAAAAUAACAAAAAAUAAUAUGAAAACAAAAAUUGUGAAUAGAGUUCGACAUAAUAAUCAUAAAGGGUGGUGUAAAAAGUGGGAUUAUUUUGAAUAUUAUUCAUGCCCUGCUGUACGUUCAAUUCAAAUUUGAUCUCCAUUCUCAUAACUUUAGCGUGACUUGACAUUAUGUUAUAAAACAAGUACACAAUACUGAAUAUUACAUAACCCCGAUCAAGUUUAAAUUUUGUUGCAACACUUUUACUUUUUUGGAAUUGUGCCCCUUAAUAUGAAACAAAGGUAUCAAUUAAUAUUCAAUGUACAUGAACUUUUAAUUUUUCUAUGUUUUUGUCGAGCCUUCGACUUUAGUCGAAAAAGCGAGACUAAGCAAUCCUACAUUCCGGCGUCGGCGGCGGCGUCCACAAAUAUUCACUCUGUGGUUAAAGUUUUUGAAAUUUUAAUAACUUUCUUAAACUUUACUGGAUUUCUACCAAACUUGGACAGAAGCUUGUUUAUGAUCAUAAGAAAGUAUCCAGAAGUAAAUUUUGUAAAAAUAAAAUUCCAUUUUUUCCGUAUUUUACUUAUAAAUGGACUUAUUUUACUUAUAAAUGGCCGACUUGAUCAAAUCUAUCAGAUUUUAUAAAGAGUUGUCUUCUCCUAGAUGCAUUACCUCCCAAGGCUGAUGAUUUUCAUCUAAUUAGUGACUAACCUAUAACUGGAGCAAGGUUAAUGAGUGCUAGGUCAUGUCCACAGACAAGGUGCCUCACACUACACCUAGGGUCCCUUCUAAUCAGAUGAUCUGGGUCUACAGUUAUGCCUAGGAUACUAGAUCUUAGUAACCAUAUGCUGUCACAAUGAGGCGCUGUAGAAGUCUUCAUAGUGGAGAGACUAUGUACUGGCAAGAAAAACUAGAACUAGGAUUCACAUACAAAUAGGCUAGCUAGAAGCAGUGGAAAAGUGAUUCCCUAUCACAGAAGAUACAUAGACAAACCUGUGGUAACACCAUCAGCACAAAAUUUGUGUUCCCAUGAAAAUUGGUAUUCAAUGAAAAAUAAUAAUAUAACUCUAUGAAUACUAAAAAAAUUGAGAGAUUGAUUAACUGAUUGGUGUUUAAUGCCACUUUCAUCUCUUUUGGCUAUUUUCAGGACAGUCAGUGCACAUGAAAACCUCUUGUUUUUAUUUAAGUUUGAAAUCUGUAGCCUUGUAUAUGGAGAAAACAAUGCCAUGCUUUCUGCUAAUGAAAACUCUCUCAUCAUUGAGGUGUCCAGUCAGGAGGGCACUUUGAAUCUGAGGCCUUAUAUAUGGAGAGAACAAUUGAAAACAUUUACUUGAAA